Long non-coding RNA from Cygnus olor (mute swan), 855 nucleotides. RefSeq lists it as uncharacterized. Lineage: Eukaryota; Metazoa; Chordata; Aves; Anseriformes; Anatidae. The record is from RefSeq and is a predicted model, not a curated record. The transcript has 2 exons.
UCAGUGGUAACUGGAUUUACCUUCAGUGAAAGAGCUGCAUUUUCAAGGUUUCUUUCAAAGCUUCCAAGUCUUGUCGCACUAGGAAUCUACAAACAGCAUGAAGAUCUCCAAAAUGCAGAGAUCUACUGCCCAGGGAUCACAAACAUGUAAAAGAAGGGGAGUAGGUUUCUGUAAAAGCAGGGGCAUGUCCAUCUCUUCAACAGCCACUGAUAACUCGCUCAGACCAUAUCUCCCAGGCUCUCAAAUCAGAAGGGUUUGUUCUCCACCUGCCCCGAGAUGGAAGGAUUCACUUUAAAGCUCAGACUUUAAGGAAAUGAAAAGAGAGAGCCUGAAAGUACUUGGAUGUUUCAAACCACAAAUCACUCAGGAAAACUCCACCUUGGUCAAUCAAUUUAUCUUAAACAAGAUGACUUGAAAGAAAGGAGGGUGAAGGGGAAGGUCUGAAUUUAAGACCCAAAUUUCUCAGUGAAACAGUCUAUGUUUAGCUCAUCAUGUUCAAGUCUCUUAACCUGAGGAGACAUCAGGAUUUCUGUACUUCUGAACUCAUUUUAUGUAUGUGCUUAUCAUUAAUUAGCUUUGCCUUCGAGCUCCGUUUAAAAAUAUGUGGCAAAAGAAGAGCAAAAUUAACAGUGUGUAAUUUAAUAUCUUUUUGUUGCUGUAAAAAUGUUUGUAAAAUUCUGACUGAAGAAAGAGCUCCUCUAAAAAAUGGAAUUAAGCUUCAAGACAUUUUAAAUCAAAAAAAAAUCUUUGGAAAAAAAAAGCAAUCUAGUUGCAAUUUUAAAGCUCUUUCCUCUAACCACAAAUCCAUUCUCUGUAAGUCAACUGAGCAAUAAAGCCAAAGCAAUAUUUAGUUAC